GUCACAAUGGAAUCGUUGCUGGUUGGGGUAUAACGGACACAUUUUUUAGAUCAUCUAUUCUACGGAAAGUAUCUGUUCCAGUGCAGCAUCCCGAAAUUUGUGAUGUUUUGCCGCAGUCCAGCAGAAAACCCGUGGGUUAUGCAACUCUAUUCAGUGAUUCGUACGGACUUUAAGCAAGCAAGCAAGGCUUUAAGAACAUAAGUAUUACCCGAUCACAGAACAUCAUAUGUGCUGGUGACGUAAAGAAGGACUCCUGCAGAGGAGACUCAG
This is a long non-coding RNA of Leptidea sinapis, 270 nucleotides long. RefSeq lists it as uncharacterized. The transcript has 3 exons. Lineage: Eukaryota; Metazoa; Arthropoda; Insecta; Lepidoptera; Pieridae. The record is from RefSeq and is a predicted model, not a curated record.